GUGAAUCAUCAAAUCUUUGAACGCAAAUUGCACUCUCCUCGGAGAGUAUGCCUGUUUGAGGGUCAUCCUAUAAAAAAUCGACAUCGUUGCUGUUUCGCGGUGGCGUUCGUCGGAUAUUUGUACAUCUUAAAUCUUUUGGUUUUAAGCGACUUAAAAUUUUCUUUUUGGUUCCAUGAACGUUUCUAAGAUUGAUUUCUUUACACAUUUAAGGUAUCGAUUUGUAUUAGACUUGACCAUCAUAUCUGAUCGCGCCCAUU
This 257-nucleotide unclassified non-coding RNA is filed under the name Glomus sp. RNAcentral's name for it is "partial contains 5.8S ribosomal RNA and internal transcribed spacer 2". The stretch from base 1 to 65 matches the Rfam family "5.8S ribosomal RNA", at positions 84 to 154 of the family's 154-position model. The record is from RNAcentral. Lineage: Eukaryota; Fungi; Glomeromycota; Glomeromycetes; Glomerales; Glomeraceae.